AGCAUGUGGUUUAAUUCGAAGCAACGCGAAGAACUUACCAGGUCUUGACAUCCCGAUGCUAUUUCUAGAGAUAGAAAGUUACUUCGGUACAUCGGUGACAGGUGGUGCAUGGUUGUCGUCAGCUCGUGUCGUGAGAUGUUGGGUUAAGUCCCGCAACGAGCGCAACCCCUAUUGUUAGUUGCCAUCAUUCAGUUGGGCACUCUAGCGAGACUGCCGGUAAUAAACCGGAGGAAGGUGGGGAUGACGUCAAAUCAUCAUGCCCCUUAUGACCUGGGCUACACACGUGCUACAAUGGGCGGUACAAAGGGUCGCCAACCCGCGAGGGGGAGCCAAUCCCAUAAAGCCAGUCGUAGUCCGGAUCGUAGUCUGCAACUCGACUACGUGAAGUCGGAAUCGCUAGUAAUCGCGCAUCAGCAUGGCGCGGUGAAUACGUUCCCGGGCCUU
This 444-nucleotide ribosomal RNA is filed under the name uncultured Streptococcus sp. RNAcentral's name for it is "bacterial SSU rRNA". It matches the Rfam family "Bacterial small subunit ribosomal RNA", at positions 936 to 1382 of the family's 1533-position model. The record is from RNAcentral. Lineage: Bacteria; Bacillati; Bacillota; Bacilli; Lactobacillales; Streptococcaceae.